GCGGCAGGCCUAACACAUGCAAGUCGAACGCUGUAGCAAUACAGAGUGGCAGACGGGUGAGUAACGCGUGGGAACGUGCCUUUCGGUUCGGAAUGACUCAGGGAAACUUGAGCUAAUACCGGAUACGCCCUUCGGGGGAAAGAUUUAUUGCCGAAAGAUCGGCCCGCGUCCGAUUAGCUAGUUGGUGAGGUAAAGGCUCACCAAGGCGACGAUCGGUAGCUGGUCUGAGAGGAUGAUCAGCCACACUGGGACUGAGACACGGCCCAGACUCCUACGGGAGGCAGCAGUGGGGAAUAUUGGACAAUGGGCGCAAGCCUGAUCCAGCCAUGCCGCGUGAGUGAUGAAGGCCCUAGGGUUGUAAAGCUCUUUCGCCAGGGACGAUAAUGACGGUACCUGGAUAAGAAGCCCCGGCUAACUUCGUGCCA
RNAcentral lists this ribosomal RNA (425 nucleotides) under uncultured Methylosinus sp. RNAcentral describes it as "bacterial SSU rRNA". It matches the Rfam family "Bacterial small subunit ribosomal RNA", at positions 39 to 510 of the family's 1533-position model. The record is from RNAcentral. Lineage: Bacteria; Pseudomonadati; Pseudomonadota; Alphaproteobacteria; Hyphomicrobiales; Methylocystaceae.